Dendroctonus ponderosae (mountain pine beetle) is the source of this 664-nucleotide long non-coding RNA. RefSeq lists it as uncharacterized. The record is from RefSeq and is a predicted model, not a curated record. NCBI's taxonomy places the organism in Eukaryota, Metazoa, Arthropoda, Insecta, Coleoptera, Curculionidae. The transcript is spliced from 2 exons.
ACCAAAGUUUUAGCUUUAAGCCCCCGUUAUACACCUACCUAAAAUAGUUUAAACAAAUUGUACAUUUAAUCUGAGAAUGAAGUGUCCGUACGAGAAGAAUCAAACAUCUCAUAACCAGAUUUCCUACGCAUAACUAUGUAUGUUAAAUAAAUAUCAUUGGUUGUAGCAACUAACAAAAUCUCGUUGACAUAAUUAACUGUGACAAUUACGUGUAAGAAGACGAAACUAAAUUCAUCUAAACACAUCAAUAAUGGCAGGUACCUAGUUUGGAUGGGUACUAAAAUUGUUAAUUCAUUCAUAGGCCCUGAGCGGAAUGGCGAGUCAAAAAUCCGGAAUUUGCCCGAUGUGUAAAACGCAAAUUUGUUAUACGAUAUGCAGCAUGUGGGUGCAAUGUCAAAUGAAGGUCACCCAAGUGUACAGCGUUGCAAGGUUCUCCUUUUUGUGUCAGGUAUGAAAAGAUAAGAAAAAAUAUAUUUGUGUAUUCUAGGCCCUGGGAACUUGAUGUUAUUUACUGCAAUUUUGCUUUAACAGGUUUGAACGAUUAGUGGCAGUAAAAGUAUAAUAACACUAAAAUGGAUUGCAUUGAGAUUCACAUUAAUUAGGUACCUACUUUAUGUCGUAUAAAUGUCAUCAUUUUCAGUGCUAAUACAGCAAGUAAUUCGGA